RNAcentral lists this long non-coding RNA (711 nucleotides) under Theobroma cacao (cacao). RNAcentral's name for it is "long non-coding RNA (TCAC_LNC001839)". Lineage: Eukaryota; Viridiplantae; Streptophyta; Magnoliopsida; Malvales; Malvaceae. The record is from RNAcentral.
ACUUAUUUAUGAUGUCACGUGCCUACUUCAACCUUUCUAAAUAAUUUUCGCCCAAAUCCAUCUUAUAUUUCCACACAUAAUCCACAUAUAUGGCAGCAACAAUCAUUCUCACUUUCACUCGAUUAUUUCCUAGUUUACAUGCAUCAUUAUCUAUCUAACUUUCAAUACUUUGUUUAUCAAUCCUCCAUCCACAAUAUUCCUUUUUCAUUUCUUUCAAACAACAUGCCAUACAAUCUUAAUAAGUUUCAACUAGCUUAGGCAAAUAGAUCCUUUCAACAACCUUAAUUCCUCACAAUAUUCAACUAACCGUAGGCUUUAAAACAUAGUGUUAAGCUUACUGUUUUCCUUUUCCACUUUGAGUCUUUCAUGUACCCAUGGGUUUAUUGGCUUACAUGUUACCAAUUUUUCUCCAAUCAAGCCAAUCUUUGCUGCCACAAGACAUUCCUCUAAGUCACUAACUCAUUUUCAAAGACUACUCAAGCCAAAAACAAGAAUUCUUACUGUUUUUUACUUGAAUCACCAAAACCAAGCUUUUUCUUUCUUCUCCUCCUAGGGUUUAGAUGUGCUAGAAAUUGGGGUUAAAGGUUGUAAAUUUAGUGCUCAAGAAGUUUGGAGAAGAAAGGAAAAGAAAACAUGGAAAGGAAAAUGAAGAAAACUUGGUUUCAUGGUGGACAAAGAGAAAAUGGCAUGGAAGCUUCAAGAAUGGUGUGG